CAAAGACCAGAUACUAUUCAUGCCAUCACAAGACCAAUAACAACUUUACAGCACAGAGAUAACUCCUAUUGUCAAGCAAAUGGCAUAAUUGGCAGAGGCUGGUAGUAGUAGCAGCGUAUAUCGGAGAGCAACUGAAAGGACCAAAGGGAUGGACAGUACCUUGCCAUUGUAUUCUUUCUUCAUUAAAAGUUCAGGAGCAAUGUAUGCUGGAGUUCCCACAGUGGACUUUGGUUGUGAAUGCAGAAGAGCUGACUGUAAAAAUGAGAGAACAUGACAGUAAUCAGGUAAACUGAACAGCAUUCAACACAAGUAUCUUUUUUGACAAUCAACAAACCAGUACAGUACAGUAAUAAUCAUAUUAUGUUGUAUGUUGUAUAUCCAGUAUAGUAAACUGGGCGCAAGUAAUACCUUGGAAUAACC
This 420-nucleotide long non-coding RNA is filed under the name Setaria italica (foxtail millet). RNAcentral's name for it is "long non-coding RNA (SITA_LNC002587)". The record is from RNAcentral. Lineage: Eukaryota; Viridiplantae; Streptophyta; Magnoliopsida; Poales; Poaceae.